Long non-coding RNA from Callithrix jacchus (white-tufted-ear marmoset), 19452 nucleotides. RefSeq lists it as uncharacterized. Lineage: Eukaryota; Metazoa; Chordata; Mammalia; Primates; Cebidae. The record is from RefSeq and is a predicted model, not a curated record.
AGUGGAAUAAAAGACCUACAUCUUUCUUUCUUUUUUUUUUAAUUGCAUUUUAGGUUUUGGGGUACAUGUGAAGAACAUACAAGAUAGUUGCCUAGGUACACACGUGGCAGUGUGAGUUGCUGCCUUCCUCCCCUUCACCUAUAUCUGGCAUUUCUCCCCAUGCUAUCUCUCCCCAACUGCCCCCCCAAGACCUACGUCUUUCAAGGGAAGUAUACUAAUGGCUUCAUAUAUGAGGGCAAUAACAUUCUUGUUUCUAUGUCAUAAAGCUAUUUUUGUGAAGGAUUGGGUGGAGAGUUAAAUAAAAGUCACCACCCUUCCAAAACAAAGUGUGUGUGAACACGUUUACUAUAGAAUAGAGACUCCCAGAACCCAGGACUGUCCUUGCUUAUUAAAGUAUGUAAGUCAGUUGGAAAGCAAUAAGCAGUCUUUUUUCCUAGACAGAGCGUUCUGACCACUGCAUGCCAUUUUGCACCAAUGCCCGUACUAACCUCAGACUGCAAGGGGGCCCUCAGUAUCUGCUGAAACCUGUCAAAGGCCUAUGCAUGGCACUGCUCUGAAUUCUUUGCAAACGUGUUAUACCUAAUUCCGUUUAUACUUAUCUCAGGAUAAUGACAUUGAGACAGGUAUUGUCUACAUUUUAUAGAAAAGGAAACUGAGGCUCAGAAUGCUUGAGUCAUUUACCCAUAUUUUCAAGCCUAACAGUGGACUAGUGGGAAUUCCAGCCCAGGUCUAUCUGACUCCAAAGCAGUGUCUCCAAGUUACUUCUCUGGUAGUGUCUGGGGAUUUAUAUUGACAGGAAGAUACAAAGUUGAUCUGUGUGGAAAUUGAACCCACAGUUUUGAUUUCAGUGUGCCGUGUGCUAAUGAACAGAGCAAAGUAUGGAAUAUAGUCAUAAUUAAGAGUUUACAUACUUCUAGAAUUUAAAUUCAUCUCUGCCAAGGGGUGAAUUUUAAAUGUUAAAGUUGCCAAUUCGAAUAUUAUAAUUUUCUUAUUCUAAAGAAGAGUGAAAUCCUAAGUUCAGAACAUAUCACACUACAGUUAAGGCAAAACCGGCUGAUUUUACACUUGAAAUCUUUUCAGUUUUAAUAUGUAUUUCUUUUUUACUUUGUGUUGCCUUUUAUUUUAGUAUUUUUAAUGAAUUCCUAAGUUAUGAUGUGUAUCACUCAAUGGAAUAUGAUGAAGGAGGUCUUAAAUUCAUUCGUAUGUAGCAGCAGAUCCCACUUUGAGACGGACCCUCUGAGAGAAUAAUUGUAUAAUCUUCUAAGCCACCAUUAAAAGACCAGCAGAGAUAACAAUGUGAAAAAUAGAGAUGAAUAGUGAAUUAAAAUGAGAGUUAAAUCUAUAGUGUUCCCUGGAUGUACAUACUUAUUGAAGUAUAAUAUUUUUUUAUUUUCAAUGAAAUUGUGGCUUAUGAAUGACUUUCUAAGUUGGAAACUUUAUCCAGGAAUAGUUGCCAAGUUUCACAUACUGGUUCAAAAGCUGUUAAAUUUGUCAGUAAUGUGUUCUAAUAAAGAGAAGCAUAAAAAGAAAUACAGGUUAAAUAUCCCUAAUUCAAAAUCCAAAAUGCUCCAAAAUCUGUAACUUUUUGAGUGCAGACAUGAUGCUUGGAUCAUUUUGGAUUUCUGGACUAGGGUUGCUCAAUGGGUAAGUAUAUGUAACCCAAAUAUUCAAAAAUUCAGAAAUGUUCAAAAUUCAAAACACUUCUGGCCUUGGGCAUUUCAGGUAAGAAAUACUGAACCUGUAUUUUCUUCCCACUAGAAUGAUGAAGAUGUUUUAUUCCUCUCUUUAUUUGGACUUUACCUGACUAGCUUUUUGGCCAGAAAAAGAUGUAUGUAGUACAUAGGGGUAGACAGUAAAAGUUGAAAACUGAAUUUUAAGUUAUCUUUUUAAACAACACUUACAAACACUAAGGGUGAUCUAAUCUAUAGUGUGUGUGUGUGUGUGUGUGUGUGUGUGUGUGUGUGUGUUUGUUUGUUUUUUGAGACAAGGUCUCACUUUGUCGCCCAGGCUGGAGUGCAGUGGUGCAAUCUCAGCUCACUGCAGCCUGCAGCCUCCACCUCCCAGGUUCAAGCAAUUCUGCCAAGUAGCUGGGAUCAUAGGUGUGUGCCACCACUAAUUUUUGUAUUUUUAGUAGAGACAGCGUUUCACCAUGUUAGCCAGGCUGUCCUGAACUCCUGACGUCAGGUGAUCCACCCACCUCGGCCUCCCAAAGCGUUGGGAUUACAGGCAUGAGCCACGGUGCCCAGCCCAGUGUAUUUUGUAAUUGAAACUCUACCUCCUUUUACUCGAAAUUGAAGUUCAUUGCCCCCACCUGAAAUUUGAGAUCCCCUUUUGCUUUUGCAUCCAGAAUGUAGAGUAUGAUUGUAGUACAACAAAAAUAAAGUUUAUAACUUGAUCAUUUAUCGGAUGGAAGCUUCCCUGGACAAAGGAGCAUUGAUAGAUCCAACAUAAACACUAUUUCCACUAUUGAAUACAUUUUCAUUCGAAGAAGAGCUGUGUAUCGGUCAUAACAUGUGCCCAGCUAUAGAGUCUUACAGGCAAUUUUCUAUUCUCUCAGCCGUGCCUUCCUGCCUCUCCUCUCUCAGUUAAAGUUCAUCUUUCCAAAUAUUUUGAAUAUGCUAUCUUAUGUAUCAUUUAAACAUUAAGCCUCCAAAAUUAAAAUGCUCCUCCUUAAUAUAUGAGUUUGCUUAAUGUAAUCUUCACCAUAGUUUAUAUAACCAAAAUUGAAAGUUGGUUCCUGGGCAUUUACCAUUGCCAAAUAUUUAUUUGGUGCAGGCUAACAUGAGGACAACCAUAAAUGCAAGUCACAUCCAUUCUUUAGAUUUUAGAGAGUUGGUUAAAAAAAGAAAGACGAUUAAACUCACCUAGAGCUUCAUGUUGAGAUAUUGAGUCCUGCUGAGUGACCUUGAGUUUUAAGAUUUCAUCUCUCCCAAAAAUGUCCAGUAAUUCUUUUUUUCUCCUCUAAAUUAAUAAGAAGCAAAAUUGACGGAACCUAUGGAGAUGUAAACCUGCCCUUCCUUGAUGCAGCCUUUCCAUUUAUUGGAUGUCUUUAAGGCAUGGUUUGAAUUUGCCUUCUAACCUGAUUUGUCUUUGGAUACCAAAACACAAAUUCUGCUCUUUCUCAAAAUAGAUGAAAAGCCCCAAUAGUACACAGAAACUGGGACUAAAAGGUGGUUUAAUAUUUAUAGUAAAGCUUAAUUUGCACAUGUUGGACUACUCUAAUUCAGAGAUUGUCGCAGUGCAGAGUUUACCUCUGCAUCACAGCAGAACAAAUGGUUUUCUAAGAAGUUACGGUGACCAAGAAAAAGCAAGUCGCAAAAAUGCAAUUUAAAAAAACCGAUUCAGCCGGGCACGGUGCUCAUGCCUGUAAUCCCAGCACUGUGGAAGACUGAGGCAGGCAGAUCAGUUGAGGUCAAGAGUUCGAGACCAGCCUGACCAGCAUGGUGAAAGCUUGUCUCUAGUAAAUAUAUAAAAAUUAGCCAGGUGUGGUGGCAUGUGUCUGUAAUCCCAGCUACUCAGGAAGCUGAGGCAGGAGAAUCACUUGAACCCAGGAGGUGGAGAUUGCAGUGAACCGAGAUCUCGCCACUGCACUCCAGGCUGGGCAACAGAGCAAGACUUUGUCUCAGAAGAAAAAAAAAAAAGACUCAGCACCUACUAAAUACUAUACCAAGCAUUACGCUAGUUACUCAGGAUACAAAAUUAGAUGGGAAAUAUGGAGUGCAAUAUAAAUAGGAAGCAGUUUGCUUUGACAAAUUCAAUUUUAAAAGUGAAUUUUUUAAAUCUCAUUAUUUUUCUGAUCGAGGAAUCCUUCAUCCGUCACCACCAUCACCCUGUCACCCCCACCAGCAUCCUCCCCUUCACCCUGCUGUUGUCACUGUCACUGGGAGUGAGGUUCUCCUCUGUGGGUCACAACUAGUUGCCCCCUAAGCUGGUUCAGGGGUUGAAACUUCAGUUUCUUUAACCAGGCACUUGGGACUUAGUACCAUUUCACUAUGCGGGUGGUGGGCGGCCAUGCCACUGUGGCAGCCGGAGGUGACGAAGAGAGACAGAUUGUCAGGAGAGCAGUGAAGGUUCAGAGAAGCUUGUAAUUAGAUUUACUUUUGCUUUUUCCUCUUGGAGAGUGAAAACACUGUGAACCAGUGGGAGCCACCUCACUUCUGUUCACCUCAUUAUUUUUCACUCUGCUAUCUAACCAUCAUUAUUCCAAUGGAAUCUAGUUGCUGUUGUGCCUCAUGAUUCACAGGCCCCUAGAAUCUUAUUUGAAGUGUUAGCAUUUGCCUAACUUUGUGGUUUUAAGAAGAUGACACUUUUCUGCAGAGCAACAUAGUGAUUUUAAAACUUCCUUUUUUUCAAUGUACCUAGAGAAGAAAGAUGGUAUCUAGAUUAAAGCAGCCUGCGGAGGAGUUUCUGAAUAGAAUACCAAAUACAGGUGACAUCAGGUGUUAUGAUAUGCUUUCCGCUAUAGAUUCCAGUUCAUUUGCACAAAGCAAAAAAAGUAAAUAAAGUUUUUAGGUAUCUGCAGCCUUAGUAUCUUCCACAGGCAAAGACAGGGAUUUGUAUUUUGCUUUAUAAAGAUGUAAAACACUGGCUGAUGACCAGGGAGUCCUUGGCUUCCUCAAAGAGGAUCCUGAAUAUGACGCAAAGAAUACAGUACAGUGCCAUUUGCGCCUGGUUACUUUUCUGAUGGAAGGCUUCUUAAACUUUGUUGGGCCUUGUACAUUUUUUUUUAGAGUCUUGUAAAAGUUACAAAGACUCUCCCUAUGAAAGUGCACAAAUCAUAUUCACAAAAAUUUUAAGUGUAAUUUCUGGGUCUUAAGACUUCAUGGAGCUUGGCCAUAGGCUCCAUGCAAAGAAACUGGAUUUCUUUAUUAUGUAUCAUGCUUACAUGCUUCCCUCAGCUCCAGGUCCCAGCCACAGUCGUGAGCAUGCAUGAGCCUAGCUGACGACCUCAUCCGUAGAUGGUUGUGACUUUAAAGAGGAUUAGGGAACUGAGUACAGAUGACACCAUACAAACUCGUUCUUCUUCCUUUCUUAUAUCCCCUCCUUCUUCCUCUCCUUAAAAAUAGUUCAUGGUCUCCUGAGGGAGAGCCGUGAGCAUGCCUGCUGCAUCUCACAUAUUGCUGUGUGAUCUUGAGAUGCUUAGGAAACUUGUUCAAUGAGUGAAUGGUGCACAUGAGAACACUGGGCUUCAAAUGGAGACAGAAGCAUACAUAGGCAGGAAAUGUGAUCUGGAAGACUCCUAGAGUAGAGCUCUCUACUUGGAGCAGCAUAGCAGGUAUAGAGCAAGCGCAGAGCCAGGUAACUGGAUGGACAGAGGUCUAGGGUACAAGGCAGCAUGGUGCAAGAGAAACAUCCUGUGCUUCAAACCUGGGCUAGAACCAAGGACCGGCUCCGGCAGGAGCUGUGUGACUCCAGGUUAACUUAAACUCUCUGAUCCUCAGUUUCCUCACUAACAAAAUUCGAGAAAUAAUACUAACUUGUCUGGGAUAUUGAAGAAAAUACACGUAGAGUCUCCAGUAAUGUUUGACAAUGUUGUACAUGCUCUGUAAUUGAUAGCCUUCAUUUUGGUUGAAGUUGCCUAUAUUUGUAACAUCAAGGCCAUUUAUAUAGGAAGGAUUUGGGAUAGGGUUGGCGGACAGUGCGAAAACAGAACGUGAAAAUGCAGAACUUAGCAACUUGGAUCCCGCGUGAGUAAGUGCCUUCCUAUGGUACAAAUAUCUCCUUGUAGAAAGAGUAUUAGCAUCGCACACUCUCCAGUGCAUUGAUCCACCUCCCUCUUGUGUGGUAUAAUAUACAUGUUCAGGAGUUAGAUUCUUGUGACCACUUCCAGAUCCAUUAAAUAAACUGUACUAACUUUGGAGCUGUGAUUACAGAAUGAGUCAGUGAGUCUGUGGCAUGGAUACCUAUAUAUUUUUUUCUGUUUGGAAGUUUCAGUCUUUUUUAAUUGUUGUGUCUCAUCUGAGAGGCUUUUAUAAGCCUUUUAAAAGAUAUUCAUUGGCCAAGUCUAGUGGCUCAUGCCUAUAAUCCCCGUACUUUGAGAGGCUGAGGUGGGAAGAUCACUUGAGGCCAGGAGUUUGAGACCAGCCUGGGCAACAUAGCAAGACCCUGUCUCUACAAAAAAUAAAAUAAAAAUUAGCCAGGCAUGGUGGCAUGCACCUGUAGUCCCAGCUACUUGAGAGUCAGAGGCAGGAGGAUCCCUUGAACCCAGGAGUUUGAGGUUGUAGCGAGCUGUGAUCAUGCCAUUGCACUCCAGCCUGGGUGACAGAGCAAGACCUUGUCUCUUUAAAAAAAACUAUUAAUAUCAGCCUCAUUAUGCUUUUAACAACAAAGGAAAAUAUUAAGAAAGGGGCUCCAAACUAAAUCAUAGAAAUUGGAAGGCUGACUUAAUUGAUUCUUUUAAUAAGCUUAACAUGAACAUGUUCUCUGGACCCAGAAAUGAGCCAGGCCCAUGAGAGGUACAUAAUGAGAAAUUCGAAAAUAAGAUUCUUGUCUUUAGGGAGCUUCAAAUCUGGAAGAAUAACAUUUUGCAUCGUAAGGAACUUCAGAGAAUAUCUUAUUGAAUUUACCCUUAACUAUUUCAUCUUCCGCUAAUUAGCACCCUCCAUAGCAAAGAAUGAGACAUGCCCAUUCAUAUCAGCUGGGAAGGAAUUAUGUGGCAUAUUAUGUUCUGAACAUUGCUGGGAAAAUGUAUUCUGAAAUAUCUUGUGAUUUCUGUGUACUUUAUUCCUCUCCUUCAAAAUUCUAUUGCGUGCAGGCACAUUCUGCUCUGUUCCUAGGGAAAGCAUUCUUGGAGCAGACACUUCUAGACUGCCCUCACUUCAAUUCCAUUUUUCUAAGUUGAUUCAAAAUGGAGUACCAAAAAAUUUUCAGUUCAUGUUUACAAAAUCGCUUGCUGGAGGCUUAGAGAUGCUUAAUCAUACCCUGCCUCUUUUCUGGGUCCCUUAUAAAUUGAAAACAGACACAGGAAGCCAGAUGAGUAUCAUGGUAAGUAUCUACCUUAUUAACAGGCCAGACGAUUCGCAGGUGCGGAUCCAGAGCUAGUUUGGAAUAUAUUCCAAACACUUAAAACAUCAAAUGAUUUGUAGACAUAAUACGUAAAGAAGUAAUCUUAGUACAAACCAGUAAAAUCAACUAAACCACAGUAAAGUUCACUGCAGCAUUCUUUAUUCAAUAGCAAAAAAACUGGAAGCAAACUAAGUAUCCACCAAUGAAUAAAUGAAUAAUGAAAAUCCUCCAUAUUCCUACAGUGCAGUAUUACAAUGUUAUCCAACAGUUAGGAGACAUGAACAAGGCAUAUAUAUAUAUAUAUAGAGAGAGAGAGAGAGAGAGAGAGAGAGAGAGUCAUAAUUAUAGAUUUCAAAUACAAUUAUUAAGUGAAUAGAGGAUUAUGCAGAAUGAUAAAAAUUGUAUGGUACUGUAUACAUUAAAAACACAAAAAUACAUUGUUUAUGGAUGGACAUUCAACAAAUAUUUAUUAAGCACCAUCUGUCUUUACAUGGUGUAUUUACAAAUGGUAUGUAUUUGUUUAUAUUUAAAUAUUCAUAUGCACAUAAAAGUAUAGUAUAUUUGUUAUAUCAAUAAGACAUGGAUAUCGAAGUAUCUAAAACGAUACCAAACACACAAGCUGGCCAAACCCAUGAACGUUGCUGUGCCUGGGGAUGGGAGGUGAGCAAUGGGUGGUAGUUUCAUUUCUUAGAAGGAAGGCAGAGGCUAGCAGCAGAUGGUACAAGAUAUUACUAUUUUUUAUGUCUAAUGGUGGGGAUAUAGUAUCCAUUUACAUUCUUCACACUUUUCUGUAUCUUUUAAAUUUCUCAAAAUCAAAAGAAGUCUAUGAAAACAGGAAUGUAUUUAUGACAAAGUGUCAAAUAGAAAAAAAAAAAAAGCAGAUUACACAGUGGUCACUGGCUUUGCUACACCUUCCCCUGGGUCCCAGCGUGGACUUGGAUGGAAGAAAACCUUCAGGAAAUGCUAACAUAUGUGCCAUGGGCCCAGCUCUAGGUCAUCUGAAACACUGCUGAUUUAGAUUUCACUUGAAAUCGCUGCUGUUUCCAAGGGCUCUGGUAGUCAUGGCCAGAGAUGCAGUUGAAUUUCCUGACCUCUAUUAAUUGCUGUUCUUACUGGCCAAUUAGCUAAAUGUAUGACAACCCUUAAUUUAGCUUGUGUUUCAUAAUUCAGUAAGCUGGAUAGUCCCCACAGAUCAGUAGUUAUGAUGGCCCCAGCCUGUCCUGUGUCCUCUGGGCCUCCUUCAGUCAUUAUCCUCCCAAAGUGCUCAUUCCCAGAAAAUGGGUUAAUCAGGCCAGUAGAAGCGUCAGGCCCCAUAGUAAAGUCCCAUGGGCCCUACUUUCUUCCUCUUCUGGGGUACAUGCAGGUUGGCCACCUUAGCCAUGCUCUGGAAGUGGAAGGAAGCCAAACAGAAUGUUCUUCCCAACCCUAGGCCCCGGGUGCCCCCUCCUUACGCCCUCUGGGCCUCUCUCCUUACCAUCUGGCUGGUCCGUUGUUCUCUGCCUUAUAGAGAGAGGGGCCUCCCAUUAAUAGCUGAAGUCUUCUUCCUGGCCAAAUGUAUGUGCUUCCUAUUCUGAAAGCAAAGAGAAAGGAAGGGAAGGUGAGCCCUGUGGUCUGGCAAACAGUGCCACUUCCCUUUGUGGAGAGGAAAAAAAGGAACCAACUUAAAGUAUGUCCCUCACCUCUCCCUUUCCAGGGGCGCAGCCCAUGGAACAGUGAAGGGGCAAACCCAAUCUCUUAUCUUUUCUCCACAUGUGACUGGCUUAGUCCAUCACUAGCUAGAGGGUCUCAGCAGGUGUGAGGCAAAGGACUAAUGGGGACCUGCCAAGUUCUCUAAUCUAGCAAGAAAACUGAUCCUCAUCUAACUCUUUCUGGUAUUUUACGGUUGAAAACUGUAAUCAAAGAAGUUGUGUGAUUAGUCUCCCCAAACCUCCAUCCAAGUUUAAUAUGAAUUCUAGGGUGUACAUGGAACAGAGAGCUCUUUCAGGACAAAGAGUUCUAAAGAGUUUGUCUGAAAGACACAUCUUUGUCAAGAGGCAAAUGAAUUAAAACGCCAGAUUUGCUAAAGCCAUUGUCCAAAAGGAAGUGAAUCCUCGGGGACGUGUGCGAGGCUCCAGUCUACCAAGUGGCUUUUCCCAGAUUUCCUGGCUUGCGGGCAACGUGGUAGUAUUCGAAUCCUAACUCUGAACACUUGAGAAUGCUCUAAGACAUCCCUUUUAAUUAAAUCCAACAAAUUGCGUAGAAAUCUUCCACAGAAUAUGUCUGAUUAGAAGAAAUCGGUCACGACAGGGAAGAAUUUUAUAAGAUAAUGUUAAGUGAAAAAAGCAAAAUAAAAUAUUGUGUCUAUAUUAGGAUUGAAAUGGUAUUAAAAUGACAUGCAUAUGGACAAGAUUGAAAUGAAACUUGAAGACCGGGAAGAUGCGGUUGGAGAUGAAUUUUUCAUUUAAUUUUGAUUUUGAUCGUUUUCUUGCUUGUAAAAUAAGAAUAGUUUUUGCAGACGAGUUCUGGAGAGAUGUCUCUCAAGGUGGAAAUUAUCCCUGCCGUUUGAGCUCUGAAGAGGGCAAAACCCUUGAACAGUGUAGCCUCUGAUGCUACUGGUGUGAUUCUGUUCUCUGGCACAGGGCAGGCAAACUGUGGCCCGUAGGUCACAUGCAGCCUGUGAGACAGGAGUGCUUUUUACACGUUUAAAUGGUUGGGAGAAAACAAAAGAAGAAGACUGUUUUGUGGCAUGGGAAAAACUGCAUGAAAUUCAAAUUUCAGUGUCCAUAAAUAAAGUUUUAUUGGGACUCAGCCAUACCCAUUCAUCUACUUUUAUCUAUGGCUGCUUUCAAGUUUACGACGGCACAGUUGAGUUGCAAUGAGACCAUAUGGAAUGCAAGGCCUAAAAUAUUUACUGUGGCCCUUCCCAGAGGAAGCUUGCCCAGGCCUGCUCUCGGACAUCCGUUCAAUAUGGCCAAGGGAACGCAUCAUCCACCUUCUCUUGCCCUGUCUUUAUCCGCACUCCUGCUCGCCUCCUUGUGGGGAAAGAACGUCAUUGAAGUCAUCCAAGUGCCAGCCUCAGAUAAAGCCCGAGAAGUAUGUGCCUUAAAGCUUCUAAAAUACCCUCCUUACUGUUGGUGAAAUGGGGAUUCAGGUAUCAUAAACACUUCAUGGGGGUUUCAAAGCUGUUUAGUUAAUACUUAUUCUCUCUCGGAAAUGAAAAGCCCAGUAUCCUGGGAUUGUUGUCACUGCUGUUGUUAUCACAGUGAUCGUUCCUAUAUAUGGUCAAAGAAACAGUCAGCAGCUGUCACUCUCCACUGCUCAUUACAAAUGAGACCUUUUUCCAGCUGAAAUAAUAGCGUGUGAGUCUAAUUAGAAUAAAGCUCAUUAGAGAUGGAGACAGCCAUUAAUGCCUCAAUUGAUUUUCCUAAUGAAGUAAGCCGGGGGAGGAGACUUCAACAGCACAGCUAAUUAUUUUCUGCUUUUCUUCAGCAUGUCUUUGGCAUUUAAAACUUCUUAUAACUUGUUGUUUGACUGUAAACGAAAAUGCUGCUGAAAAGUGCUCUGUGAUUACAGAGGCUCUGACACAUCCAGCCCUGAGAAGGGGGAGGAAGGCAUCUGCUUCCUGCAGGAGGAGGUUUAAACCUGGCAGCCUCUGGGGAUAGCCUUCCUUCCACUUUUUCAGCCUCCUCCUCCUGUGCAUUCUGGGUUCUAGCUAGUCGUUCCCAGACACUCAAGUUGUAGUGUGUGGUUUUCUCCUCCUGCAGUCCUGGUUCAGGGACAGAGCUGAAACAUACAGAUGCUUAUGGGGGUUGCCUCUGGAUGGUGAAACAUGGAGGAAAGGGUUAUGGGAAAAAGGGUUUUAGAUGGACAGAGGAGGGAAAUACCUACAAAAUGUGUGUACCAGAAUGCAGAUGGGGCAAUUGUGCUUCAUUAAUCAAGAUGCUCUUUGCCACCCAGAAAGCAGUUAAAUCCCACAGUACAGGGAAAGGGCUGUCAAGGAAGGGCAAGUCAAGAACUGAGACUCAGCAUAUAACACACUUGGGAGACUCAUAACAGGGAGGAUGGGAGGAGGGUGUGAGGUAAAAAAAACUUCAUAUUUGUACAGGCUACACUGCUUGGGUGAUGGAUACACUAAAAUCUCAGAAUUCACCACUGUGUAAUUUAUCAUGUAACCAAAGACAACUCAUACCCCAAAAGCUAUUGAAAUAAAAAAUUUUUUAAUUUUUUAAAAGCCUUACUAAAUGAGGAAAUUAUUCAAUAAAAGGACAUUAUCUCAGUGACUGUGUUAUUAGAAAUGUAGUUUAGUGUAAAGCACUAACAGCAACUAACAGAUUCCCAGUGUCGUCCAGACAAGUAAAGGAGAGGAAGAAAAAUUCUUCAGGUGAUCGUUCAACUAGUCACCAAGCAACAAGAGCCUGCUUUAUGACAAGUGUAACAGCUUACACUUCAGACAGGAAGAAGCCUCAUUAAAGUGAACUUCCGUCAUGAGCCUCUAUUACUAAACUUCAUGUUUGCUGUCUGCAAACCCAAGAGUCUUGAUCGGACUUUUUUGCUGACUCCAUUGCCCUACCCGUGAGGUUCUUUAACUCAGAACUGUGUGAUAAAAAGCAAAAGGUGGAGUUUAAGAUGCCUGGCUGAGGCCGGGUGCAGUGGCUCACGCCUGCAAUCCCAGCAGUUUGGGAGGCCAAGGUGAGCAGAUUAGCUGAGGUUAGGAGUUCAAGACCAGCCUGGCCAACAUGGUGAAACUUUGUCUAUACUAAAAAUACAAAAACUGCACAAGCAUGGUGGUGCAUGCUAUUUGGAAGGCCAAGGUUGCAGUAAGCCAAGAUUGUGCCGCUGUACUCUAGCCUGGGCAACAGAGCCGGACUCCAUCCCUCCACCCCACAAAAGAGUGUGCCUGGUUGAACAUCACGGAGAUAACUGGAGGUGAUUCCGCACAUGGUUGAUGUGAGUAUUAGUUGACCCCCUUUCUUUUUUUUUUUUUUUUUUUUUUGAGACGGAGUUUCGCUCUUGUUACCCAGGCUGGAGUGCGAUGGCAUGAUCUCUGCUCACCACAACCUCCACCUCCUGGGUUCAGGCAAUUCUCCUGCCUCUGCCUCCUGAGUAGCUGGGAUUAUAGGCACGCACCACCAUGCCCAGUUAAUUGUUUGUAUUUUUAGUAGAGAUGGGGUCUCACCAUGUUGACCAGGAUGGUCUCGAUCUCUUGACCUCGUGAUCCACCCACCUCGGCCUCCCAAAGUGCUGGGAUUACAGGCUUGAGCCACUGUGCCCGGCCAGUAGACCCCCUUUCUACCGUUUCAGUUACCCAGAGACAGUAAAAAGGGUGAGUACAGUACAAUAAGAUAUUUUGAGAGAAAGAAAACACAUUUACAUAACUUUUAUUACAGUGUAUUAUUAUAAUUGCUCUAUUUUAUUUGUAGUUGUUAUUGUUAUUACUCUCUUGUGCCUAAUUUUUCUUUCUUUUUUCUUUUUCUGAGACAGAGUCUCACUCUGUCGCCCAGGCUGGAGUGCAGUGGUGCGAUCUCGGCUCACUGUAACCUCCACCUCCCAUGUUCAAGCAGUUCUCCUGUCUCAGCCUCCCGAGUAGCUAAGAUUACAGUCACGCAUCACCACGCCCAGCUAAUUUUUGUAUUUUUAGUAGAGACUGGGUUUCACCAUGUUGGUCAGGCUGGUCUCGAACUCCUGACCUCAAGUGAUCAGCCCACGUCAGCCUCCCAAAGUGUUGGGAUUACAGGCCUGAGCCUAAUUUAUAUAGGUCUGUAUGUAUAGGAAAAAUAUAGUAUAUGUAGGGUUCAGUACUCCCCUAACCCAUGGAAAAGGGGGAACAACUGUACUUAAAUAAAUACAAAUAAUGAAUAAUGGACAGUGCGAUUCUAGUAUCAACUUUGAUUUCCUCUCUUUGCCGUCCUGUUGCCUCUCUCCUAAGUUCCAGGCUGUUCUUUUAGCUGGUCCUAUGCCCUGUUCUGUGUGCAUAGUCUUGCUCAAAACUUAUUAUCAGUUGUGUUGUUUAAAAAGGCUGCAUCUUCCAUCAUGAUGUGCAAAACAUUGAUGGGUUUCUUCCCUUACUAAAAUACCAGGACACUUUCCAUGUAACAUCAUUUAACAGCCUCCACCCUGCCACCCCCGCAGCACAGCACUGCUUCUCUCCAAAGCCAGAGUGUUUAUAACCCUUUGAAGUGGGCCCACAAGGACUCCAGUAGGUACCCGAAAGACAAAGAUGGACAAGAAACAUGUUUUCCCCCUCAAUAAGGGAGGCAAACAUUUUGCCCAAAAUUCUGUACAACAUGGUGGUGCCGUGGAAGGGCCACUGAGAAGGGAAGAGACUGAUUCUCUCUAGAGCAGCUACAGGGAAUUUUACCAGAGGAUGAGGUUGGGGCCAGAUCCUAAAGACUAAGUAGCCAAGAAGAGAAAGCUGGGGAGAGGGUGUGAGGAAAGAGAGCAGCAGAUGUGAAAACACCGUGGUGUGCAAGGAGGAUCCGCCUGUUGGACACAGUGGGUGCUUGGUCUCUUGGGUUUUUAUUUGUUCUUUUAUCUUUUAUUUUUGGUAGUAGUGCAUGAACCAUGCCUUAGUAACCAUUUUCUCCUUGGGAUAUUAGAUUUUUUCCCAUAUGCCUAGUAAAAAUGCUGCAGUGCAAAUAUAUUUGUACAUAUAUCUUUAACAACUUUAUGGAGGUAUAAUUUACACCCCAAAAAACUUAUUCAUUUUUCAUGCACAGAUCAAUUUUAGUAAUUUAGUGAAUUGUACAACUGUCACCACACUCCAGUAUGAGAAGAUUCCCAUCACCUCAGUAAGAUCUCUCCUGCCUGUUUACAAUAAAUACUCAUUCCCACCUCCAGUCCCAGGAACUGAGGAACCCAACCAGUGUGUGUGUUUUGGGGGUGGAGUUUGGGAUUUAUCUUUGAUUCUGAUUUCUAUGAUUGUUGUAAAAAAAAAAAAGGUAUUAAUCUUCUUAUGACUCUCAAUAUUGCCAAAUUGCUUUUCAAAGCAGCCAUACAACUUUACAUACUGCUAACAAUAUAUGAGAAUUGUGGGUAUUGCCACUGUUAAAUUUCUAGUGGUUUUAAUGUUGUAUUUUUUGAUUACUGAAACAUCUUUUGAUUUGUGUGUUUUCUGGUUUUAUUUUGUUUUAAAUGAUAUUUGAUUUGUACACUUUCACUCUCAUUAGGCCUCUCUUAAGACUAUUCAUAUUUUGAUUUGUUUGAGCUUCUGUAGCUUUCAUCAUUCACGUGUUGUAUGCUGCAGGUAUUUUUUCUACUAUGAGGUUUGUUUUUAUAUUUUGCUUUAUUUUUCUUCUUAAGAUGCAAAUGUUUAUCUUUGCAUACUCAGAUGUAUUGAUAUCUGUAUUUUACUUUGCAGUCUUUUUCUAUGCCUUCAAAGUGUACAGAGUUGUCUCCCCCUCCAAAUCUUUGACAAAGGUUCAGUUUUCUGUUCUGUUCUAUUAUUUUUAGUAAGAUUUAACACAUUCUCUUGGAAUCUGUUGUUUCUGGUGAUUGCCUUUGUCAGAUACUUAAUUCUGACAUAUGUUAAGGUGUAUUUCUGGGAUAUCUUGUUCUGCUAGUGACUUUCUGAUGGGUUUAUUUUAAACAGAGUGUAGAGAAAUGGACACACAUGAGAGGGAGACCCGGAUGUGGGAAACUGACACACGAGAGGGAGUCCCAGAUGUAGGAAAGUGACACACACGAGAGGGAGACCCGGAUGUGGGAAACUGACACACACGAGAGGGAGACCCAGAUGUGGGAAACUGACACACACGAGACGGAGACUCGGAUGUGGGAAACUGACACACACGAGAGGGAGACCCGGAUGUGGGAAACUGACACACACGAGACGGAGACUCGGAUGUGGGAAACUGACACACACGAGAGGGAGACCCGGAUGUGCGAAACUGACACACAUGUCAGGGAGCCCUUGAUGGUAGGUUCCAUUCAUAGGUAGUGGACCCAGGAGUGCUGUUGAUUUGGAAAGACAACCUUGGUUCCAAAGGCCAAGACUAAGCUGUUCUCUGGGAGUUACAGAGCUGCAGGAGUUGGGGUCUGCUGUUUUAACAGUUUCUUGGUCUGCUUGGAAAAGUAUCUGAUAUGCCCCAGCAGGAAAGAGAAUGCUCUGUCCAAAAUGUGCGUGUUGCCAGCACUACUCUAAAUCUUGGAGAUACAGCAGAAUAAAGUUUCUACCCAGUAGGAGCUUCUGUUCAAGGGAAAAGAUGGUCAAUAAAGAGAUGAAUUAAUAUGUUAAUAAUUUCAGGGAAUGAUAAUUCAUAUAAAUAAAAAUGAAGCAAGACACUUCAACAAACAAAAACCUGAAAUGUAUGUUCUGCAUUGACAUCAACCUACACUUCCAGGAGGAUAAUACUACCGAUAACUGAAGAAUACAUGGAAGCCUCUACAUGGAGUGGGGUGUGGUUGGAAAAAUUUGGGUGGGCAAAGGUUCCUUGGGGUUUUUGAGUCUGCACCCAAAGGCACUCAUGGUUCUUUCAAACAGCCCUCCUUUGUCAGCGUCAGGAGGAGUUUCUGUUCUUCCAUCUUGCAAGGGUCUCCUGGGGUUCUUGCUCUCUGCAGCUUUCAGUGUGUCCUUUGCACAAGGGUGGGAUUGUGACUAAGGCUCUCCAGUUCUAACUGAGUAAAGCAUCCUGACGAAGACUUCCAUUUGGGAUUCCUUUAAGGGGGAAGGGCAUACUUCAGCAAAGAGUUGCUGUGUAUCCACUCAGCUCCCACUUCCUGCCUUCUGACAGCUGCAGGUCUUAAGGAUCUCUUUGUAGCACAGUUCUUUAAAAAUUAAAUGAGACAUGAAGUCAUGUUACAGAAGCGGGCUCCCUGUCCUGCCCAGUAGGGCCAGUGUGCAGAUGGGGUCCCCUGUGAUGCUGAGAUGGGGCCCCUCCAAUGACCGUUCUCUCAACUCCCCUUUAUUUUUAUUUAUUUAUUUAUUUUUAAAAUGGCAUAUAGUAAUUUACAUAUUUAUAGGGUACCUGUGAUGUUUUGACACACUUACAGUGUGUAAUGGUCAUUACAUACUGGGUAGUUACGUACAGGGUAUUUAGUACAUGCGUCACAUCAAAGGCUUAUUUAUGUGUGCUGGAAACAUUUCAAAUCUUCUCACUACUUUGAAAUAUACAAUAUAUUACUAUUAACUCUACUCACCCUACUGUACUGUUGAACACCAGAAUUUAUUCCUUCUUAACCAACCUCCCUUCAUCCUCGCCCUUCCCUACUGUCAUUUACACAAGGUAAUCACCAUCCUCAGGUCUCCUUUCUUAGAACGUCACUGGAUGGCCGUAUGGCUUAUGGCCAUAUCUUACUUUCAGUGUGUUUUGGUUUCAAAGUUUGUUACCAAAGCAAUUGCUUCUCAGUGCUGCUGAAACAGGUGAUAAUAAAAAUGAAGCUGAGUUGAAUUUGAAUUUAGUUGUAACAAAGGCAAGGACCAGCCCAGCGGGCUUGUGCUUCUCUGAGGGUUCCCCACAAGUAUCAGAGCUUCACUCUUACCCCUCUUACCCUUGCAGGACUGAUACGAAUAGUAAGUGAAAUAAUAUCCACAAAGCAGCUAAUGCUGUGUUCUUUCUCCUUUGUAUAGUAAUGAUAAUAAUUUCAGAGUAGCCUAUGUUAGGGAAAUGAAAGCUGCAGAGUCUUGUGUUUGCAAAAAGGGUUUAUAUUGUAUCUGUCCCUCAAAAGGUGGGGUGGGAGAGCCUUUACUGCUGCUGCAUACCCCAGAAACUCAUUUACUGAGUUGAAGACAAUGAGAACACCAUUUUUCAUGUAGGCACGUGUGUAUAUGUGUGUGUGUGUGUGUGUAUCUGUCUGCCAUUCCUUUCAAGUUCUUCCUCAUGGAUGAGGCACCCUCUAAACCCCACAUUGGCUGGCUGAGACUUCGCUUUGUUUCGAGGCCUCUUUUAGUCAUAGGUAGUAAAGGGACUUUGGUUUCUACCGUAGACGUUUGAUUCAUGUACAUGGAUUUCUGGCCUGUCUGGGGUACAAGGCUGAGUUGGGAGGAAGAGAUCCCUGACACCUAUCAGAAUGACAGGUUAUGGUCACAGUCCUUACUCACCUGACAGCCGAUGAGGAAGGAGGUCCCUACAAACACAGGGUUUAUAAUAACAACAAUGAAAAUAAAAGUAGCAGCAACUAACAUUUAUUAACUACUUUGCCAGACACGAGAUUUUUCCAUUUAAUCCUGAGUGUAACCCUACGGGAUGGAGACCAUGAUUAUCCCCAGGAAACCAAAGCCCAGUAAUAUGCACGAUGUCAAACAACAGUGUAUAUGUACAUAUAUAUACUGGAGAUGUUCACUUUCCUUUCCUGAUAAAACCUUCAGGAACACUCCAUGAGCCCUGCUUUUCCUCUCCAGCUGAAUACUCAGGUCCAUUUGUAAGUCUCCUCCCUGAGCCUCAUGAGUUGGUGGUCUGUGGAGAGCAUCAUUUGACAUGUAUGGCAUUGUGUGGACACAUUUGUAUGCGUCUUGUUCCCCAUAUUAAAGAAUAAAACCCCAGUGGCCAGAGACCUUGAAGUUCUUUCAAACUGUCCAGUAUGUGACUCAGAGCAUGUCUCCUGAGUGGUCUGGGGCAAGUCUGGGGAUGGCAUCUGCUUGGACAGUAUCACCUGGGAGGCUGCCCCUGGGGUGACUGCCAAGUACACACUCCUGUUCUCAGGAAGGCUGCGUACCCAGCUUCUCUGCUCAGGAGAGGUUUUAUGCAGCAAGUAAAACAAGCCUAGAGAUGACACUAGACCCAGACACUCUGCAAGCAGCAGGGGCGGGAGUUAGCAGUCUGAUGGUGGAGAAAACCAAAACAUCCUAAGGGGUGAAUCCCAUUCUAAGGGAGCAGCAAUCUGGAGCCAGCUGGCCUGGGAGUGAGCAGACCCUGUGGCUUCCACGGGCCUGAAGACGUCAUUGUAUGGCAGGGUUUUGUUUGGUUGUCGCUCUGUCGCCCAGGCUGUAGUGCAGUGUUGUGAUCUCAACUCACUGCAAUCUCUGCCUCCCGUGUUCAAGCCAUUCUUCUGCCUCAGCCUCCGAAAUAACUGGGACUAUAGGUGCCCAGCACCAUGCCCAGCUUGCUUUUAUAUUUUUAGUAGAGACACAGUUUCACCAUGUUUGCCAGGGUGGCCUCAAAUUCCUGACCUCAGGUGAUCCACCCACCUUGGCCUCCCAAAGUGCUGAAAAUACAGGCGUGAGCCACUGCACCCAGCAGGCAGCAUUCUCUAGUUUUCCAAAUACACACAGGCAUGUGCACGUAUACAUCAUGUGUAAAAGUAUGUUUCAGAAGUGAUUUCAUUGCUUUAUUACUAUUAACUCGUUUAAUCUUCAGCCGUUCUGUGAAGUAGGUACUGUUGUUCUCUUCAUUUUACAGAUGAAGAAACUGAGGUGCAGAGAGGUAAUUUUAUCAGGAUCCCAGAGCUAGGAAGUCACAGAGCCAAGAUUAGCACCCAGCUACAUGGCACAAAAUACUCCAUUUUGAUAAUGCUUAAAUAUUAGGAAAGUAUAAAAUAUUUCUGUCAUACAGAUAAUGUGACCCAAAAAGUGUAAUGUAUUUAAGAAAUAAUUACAUGCAGAAUUAUUAUUUUUAAGUAUUUGUAUGUUUAGAAGUUUCGGUUACUUAGAACAUCCUGCUUUUAAAAGAACAUUCCCCCCCAAAAACGAAACAUGUAGCGUUUGUUUUAAAAGAAAAAGUUGAAGAAUACAAAUAACAAUACCUGACUUUUUACAAAACCCUUAUCUAUGACAUCAGGACACCGGCAGGGCAGGUACUUUCAUUGUUUAUGGUCUGCAGCGAGUCAAGUGUCUUGACCAGCACAAGCCGGCUUGGUUAAAUGUGCAUCGUUAAAGCCCAGGCCCAAUCAUGCCUUCACUGAGUUAUGACCUGGAGGAGAGAGGAUAAAAUAUGUUCACAGGUAACCAUUGUACGUAGUCCUUAGAGUUUCAGAUAAUCUGUUUUGUGAGCAAAUGAAUCAGAAGCAUCUUUGCCUUUCUUGUGCAUCCCACACAUACCAAGCAUAGACCUGUUACGCAUCUUUAAAGGAUUCUUGUUUGUUGUUUUUUUGUAAUUCAUUUUAGAGCGAAUUAAACUCAGAAUCCCUGGAUUGUACACUCUCCCUCUGUAGACUGUUGAGUUUCAGGCACGGGGAUGUAGCUGUAGAAUGUGGCUUGUUCAUUCUUCCUGAUGAGAAGUUGAUCUGAAUGGAUUGACCAUUUGGUAAUUUCUUAGUGAAAAGCUGACUCUUGAAUAUGCCUAUUAUAAUAUAAAUUCUUACCAACAUAAAUUAAGGGCUUAUGUGGGGCUUGGUAGAACUCUCAUGCCUUGAGGUAUCGGUAGCUUAUUAAAUUGGUUAACUUGUAUUUAUGAUGUAGCUACCCUGUGCCAGCCAUCACUGAGAAAGCCUGGAUUCUAUUGCAAAGAGACAUAUACUGAGAGAAAAUUGAUUACAAGUAACUAUUUCAGGCUCUGCUUUGAAUUUCUCAUUCACAUGCUUUCUUUUCUUUUUCCC